Molecule: ribosomal RNA, 702 nt
Filed under: uncultured Methylobacterium sp.
Lineage: Bacteria; Pseudomonadati; Pseudomonadota; Alphaproteobacteria; Hyphomicrobiales; Methylobacteriaceae
Description: bacterial SSU rRNA
Rfam family: Bacterial small subunit ribosomal RNA
Source: RNAcentral
AGCGAACGCUGGCGGCAGGCUUAACACAUGCAAGUCGAGCGGACCUUUCGGGGUCAGCGGCGGACGGGUGAGUAACGCGUGGGAACGUGCCUUCCGGUUCGGAAUAACCCUGGGAAACUAGGGCUAAUACCGGAUACGCCCUUAUGGGGAAAGGUUUACUGCCGGAAGAUCGGCCCGCGUCUGAUUAGCUAGUUGGUGGGGUAACGGCCUACCAAGGCGACGAUCAGUAGCUGGUCUGAGAGGAUGAUCAGCCACACUGGGACUGAGACACGGCCCAGACUCCUACGGGAGGCAGCAGUGGGGAAUAUUGGACAAUGGGCGCAAGCCUGAUCCAGCCAUGCCGCGUGAGUGAUGAAGGCCUUAGGGUUGUAAAGCUCUUUUAUCCGGGACGAUAAUGACGGUACCGGAGGAAUAAGCCCCGGCUAACUUCGUGCCAGCAGCCGCGGUAAUACGAAGGGGGCUAGCGUUGCUCGGAAUCACUGGGCGUAAAGGGCGCGUAGGCGGCGUUUUAAGUCGGGGGUGAAAGCCUGUGGCUCAACCACAGAAUGGCCUUCGAUACUGGGACGCUUGAGUAUGGUAGAGGUUGGUGGAACUGCGAGUGUAGAGGUGAAAUUCGUAGAUAUUCGCAAGAACACCGGUGGCGAAGGCGGCCAACUGGACCAUUACUGACGCUGAGGCGCGAAAGCGUGGGGAGCAAACAGG